RNAcentral lists this ribosomal RNA (402 nucleotides) under Nemertea sp. MM00156. Its description in RNAcentral is "SSU rRNA". It matches the Rfam family "Eukaryotic small subunit ribosomal RNA", at positions 592 to 998 of the family's 1831-position model. The record is from RNAcentral. Lineage: Eukaryota; Metazoa; Nemertea.
CAAUAGCGUAUAUUAAAGUUGUUGCGUUUAAAAAGCUCGUAGUCGGCUAUCGGGCGGCGGCCAAUGGUUCGGUUCCGUGCCGAUACUGCUGGUCGCGGCCUCCUCGCCGGUCGUCUUUCGGUGCCCUUAACUGAGUGCCUUAAGUAGCCGGGGCGUUUACUUUGAAAAAAUUAGAGUGUUCAAGGCAGGCGUUUAGCCUGAAUCUUCGUGCAUGGAAUAAUGGAAUAGGACCUCGGUUCUAUUUUGUUGGUCUUCGGAACUAGAGGUAAUGAUUAAUAGGAACAGGCGGGGGCAUUCGUAUUGCGGCGUUAGAGGUGAAAUUCUUGGAUCGUCGCAAGACGGACUAUUGCGAAAGCAUUUGCCAAGUAUGUUUUCAUUGAUCAAGAGCGAAAGUCAGAGGAU